Molecule: ribosomal RNA, 925 nt
Filed under: uncultured organism
Description: bacterial SSU rRNA
Rfam family: Bacterial small subunit ribosomal RNA
Source: RNAcentral
UGGAUCCAGACUUUGACAUGGCUCAGGAUGAACGCUAGCUACAGGCUUAACACAUGCAAGUCGAGGGGAAACGACAUCGAAAGCUUGCUUUUGAUGGGCGUCGACCGGCGCACGGGUGAGUAACGCGUAUCCAACCUGCCCACCACUUGGGGAUAACCUUGCGAAAGUAAGACUAAUACCCAAUGAUAUCUCUAGAAGACAUCUGAAAGGGAUUAAAGAUUUAUCGGUGAUGGAUGGGGAUGCGUCUGAUUAGCUUGUUGGCGGGGUAACGGCCCACCAAGGCGACGAUCAGUAGGGGUUCUGAGAGGAAGGUCCCCCACAUUGGAACUGAGACACGGUCCAAACUCCUACGGGAGGCAGCAGUGAGGAAUAUUGGUCAAUGGGCGAGAGCCUGAACCAGCCAAGUAGCGUGCAGGAUGACGGCCCUAUGGGUUGUAAACUGCUUUUAUAAGGGAAUAAAGUGAGCCUCGUGAGGCUUUUUGCAUGUACCUCAUGAAUAAGGACCGGCUAAUUCCGUGCCAGCAGCCGCGGUAAUACGGAAGGUCCGGGCGUUAUCCGGAUUUAUUGGGUUUAAAGGGAGCGUAGGCCGGAGAUUAAGCGUGUUGUGAAAUGUAGACGCUCAACGUCUGCACUGCAGCGCGAACUGGUUUCCUUGAGUACGCACAAAGUGGGCGGAAUUCGUGGUGUAGCGGUGAAAUGCUUAGAUAUCACGAAGAACUCCGAUUGCGAAGGCAGCUCACUGGAGCGCAACUGACGCUGAAGCUCGAAAGUGCGGGUAUCGAACAGGAUUAGAUACCCUGGUAGUCCGCACGGUAAACGAUGGAUGCCCGCUGUUGGUCUGAAUAGGUCAGCGGCCAAGCGAAAGCAUUAAGCAUCCCACCUGGGGAGUACGCCGGCAACGGUGCAACUCAAAUGAAUUGACGGA